This 882-nucleotide ribosomal RNA is filed under the name uncultured bacterium. RNAcentral's name for it is "bacterial SSU rRNA". It matches the Rfam family "Bacterial small subunit ribosomal RNA", at positions 1 to 873 of the family's 1533-position model. The record is from RNAcentral.
CCCUUAGAGUUUGAUCCUGGCUCAGAAUCAACGCUGGCGGCGUGCCUAACACAUGCAAGUCGAACGCGAGAGCCCCGCAAGGGGUGAGUAGAGUGGCAAACGGGUGAGUAACGCGUGGGUGACCUGCCUUCGAGUGGGGGAUAACGUCCCGAAAGGGACGCUAACACCGCAUGACAUCCUGCUUUUGGAAAAGCGGAGAUCAAAGCUGGGGAUCGCAAGACCUGGCGCUUGAAGAGGGGCCCGCGCCUGAUUAGCUAGUUGGUGGGGUAAUGGCCUACCAAGGCAACGAUCAGUAUCCGGCCUGAGAGGGCGGACGGACACACUGGGACUGAGACACGGCCCAGACUCCUACGGGAGGCAGCAGUGGGGAAUUGUUCGCAAUGGGCGCAAGCCUGACGACGCAACGCCGCGUGGAGGACGAAGAUCUUCGGGUCGUAAACUCCUGUCGAGUGGGAAGAAUGGAUCGAGGGUGAAUAGCCCUCGGUAUUGACGGUACCACUAAAGGAAGCCCCGGCUAACUCCGUGCCAGCAGCCGCGGUAAUACGGGGGGGGCAAGCGUUGUUCGGAAUUACUGGGCGUAAAGGGCUCGUAGGCGGCCGCAUAAGUCACUUGUGAAAUCCCGGGGCUCAACUCCGGGGCUGCAGGUGAGACUGUGUGGCUAGAGCACGGUAGAGGCGAGUGGAAUUCCCGGUGUAGCGGUGGAAUGCGUAGAUAUCGGGAAGAACACCGGUGGCGAAGCGCUCGCUGGGCCGUUGCUGACGCUGAGCGCGAAAGCGUGGGGAGCAACAGGAUUAGAUACCCUGGUAGUCACGCCGUAAACGAUGGGUACUAGCGUCGGGGGAGCGACCCUCCGGUGCCGUCGCUACGCAGUAAGUACCCGCU